Brochothrix thermosphacta is the source of this 102-nucleotide non-coding RNA. The record is from Rfam. NCBI's taxonomy places the organism in Bacteria, Bacillati, Bacillota, Bacilli, Caryophanales, Listeriaceae.
UACUUAUCCAGAAAGGUGGAGGGACUUGGCCCGCUGAUACCUUAGCAACCGGAACGAUUGUUCACGGUGCUACAUCCAACAGUCAUUACUGACAGAUAAGUG